RNAcentral lists this ribosomal RNA (520 nucleotides) under uncultured bacterium. RNAcentral describes it as "partial 16S ribosomal RNA". It matches the Rfam family "Bacterial small subunit ribosomal RNA", at positions 28 to 523 of the family's 1533-position model. The record is from RNAcentral.
GACGAACGCUGGCGGCGUGCUUAACACAUGCAAGUCGAACGGACUACUUUGCUUCGGUAAGGUGGUUAGUGGCGAACGGGUGAGUAACGCGUAGACAACCUACCUCUUAGAUGGGGACAACAUCGCGAAAGCGGUGCUAAUACCGAAUGAAGUGACUUUCCUGCAUGGGAGAGAUACUAAAGGUGGCCUCUAUUUAUAAGCCACCACUGAGAGAUGGGUCUGCGUCUGAUUAGCUAGUUGGCGGGGUAAUGGCCCACCAAGGCGACGAUCAGUAGCCGGGCUGAGAGGAUGAGCGGCCACAUUGGGACUGAGACACGGCCCAAACUCCUACGGGAGGCAGCAGUGGGGAAUCUUCCGCAAUGGACGAAAGUCUGACGGAGCAACGCCGCGUGAGUGAAGAAGGUUUUCGGAUCGUAAAGCUCUGUUGUUUGAGACGAAUGUGCCUGUUUCAAAUAGGGAUAGGUAAUGACGGUAUUAAACGAGAAAGCCACGGCUAACUACGUGCCAGCCGCCGCGGUAA